Molecule: long non-coding RNA, 198 nt
Organism: Carassius auratus (goldfish)
Lineage: Eukaryota; Metazoa; Chordata; Actinopteri; Cypriniformes; Cyprinidae
Exons: 3
Source: RefSeq, a predicted model, not a curated record
CACUCACACUCUUCAUCCUAAAGAAAGACAGACUCCUUUAAUCAGCCAUGAAGAAGCUCUACAAGUGCCUGUGGAUCUUACUGGGGUUUUUAUUGAUCGAGGAAAUGGCACGUGGACAAGAAGAGAAUGCAGCACUAUGGGGCAAAACUAGUCAGUCAUCAACUUACGCAGGCUCUGUACCUGAAUAUGCUCUUGAUG